RNAcentral lists this transfer RNA (85 nucleotides) under Felis catus (domestic cat). It matches the Rfam family "tRNA". Rfam says of the family: Transfer RNA (tRNA) molecules are approximately 80 nucleotides in length. Lineage: Eukaryota; Metazoa; Chordata; Mammalia; Carnivora; Felidae. The record is from Rfam by way of RNAcentral.
GCCUGGGUGGCUCAGUCGGUUGAGCGUCCGACUUCAGCUCAGGUCAUGAUCUCACAGUUCGUGGGUUCGAGCCCCGCGUCAGGCU